AGUGAACGCUGGCGGUAUGCCUAACACAUGCAAGUCGAACGGCAGCACAGUAAGAUUUUGCUCUUACGGGUGGCGAGUGGCGGACGUGUGAGGAGUAUAUCGGAAUCUACUUUUUCGUGGGGGAUCACGAAGCGGGGGUUACGCUAAUACCGCAUAUGACCUACCGGUGAAAGCAUGGGAACUUCGCACCUUUCGCGGCUGGACUAGCCGCUUUCGGGGUAGCUAGUUGGCUGGGUAAAGGCCCACCAAGGCGAGGAUACGUAGCUGGUCUGAGAGGAUGAUCGGCCACACUGGAGCUGAGACACGGUCCAGACUCCUACGGGAGGCAGCAGUGGGGAAUAUUGGACAAUGGGCGCAAGCAUGAUCCAGCGAUCCCGCGUGGGUGACGAAGGCCUUCGGGUUGUAAAGCCCUUUUGUUGGGAAAGAAAAGCAGCAGGUUGAUACGAAGCUGUUCUGACGGUACCCAAUGAAUAAGCACCGGCUAACUACGUG
RNAcentral lists this ribosomal RNA (492 nucleotides) under uncultured bacterium. RNAcentral describes it as "partial 16S ribosomal RNA". It matches the Rfam family "Bacterial small subunit ribosomal RNA", at positions 29 to 507 of the family's 1533-position model. The record is from RNAcentral.